GUUAUUCCAAGCUGAAUGCAACGUGAGAUUUAAAGGUCAGCUCCUUCUCCUUUGGAAGUAGAUGGAGGUUUGUGUUUUGCAGGAAGCUGGAGCAAGUUCCAGGCUUUUCUCUGCCUGCUUGUUCCAGCAUUUUGGAAUUGUUGAGGUGAUGAGGAGAGCUGGAAGAGCGAGGGGGACACGACAGCAAGUUGGCACCUCGGUCAUAGAGGGGACAGAAUGGACAGGCACUGGGGUUCUGGUGCUACAAGAACCUUCCUGGUCUUGGCACAGCAGGUGUGGAGAUUUUGGAGCCUGCAGAGGUGCAUCUCGCUGACUGCAGCUCGCAGAAGGGAUAUGAAGAUCUGGGAAGCCCAUUCUCAUGAUGCAAGCCAAGCUCUGCUGCUCAGAAGAGACACAGGUGCUGCAUCAAGCUGACACAGCCCUGGCUGGAUGUACAUUUCCAGGUGUCCAGAUCUAUGCACUGUGUCCAUUGCCAAAUACAACUGCAGUGGUAUCAUGCCACACUGCCUACAGCACUUUGAACGUUGCCAGCAUGUGAGCACAAGCUGUAUCCUACUUGCUGGGGUACACCUGGCCCCAGCAGGCAACCAUCUCAAGCUGCUCCAUGAGAUCCCUCUGGCCCAUCCUUGCUGCCUGUGGUUCCUUGAUCACCAAUGCAAUCCUAAGUCUGCAAAGAAACACAUUUGCAAGAAAAGCCUGUUUCCAGUAGAAAUUACACUAAAAAUUCUUGGGAAUGUUCUUACUGUUAUGAUCGUAAAGAGCUUCUCUUAAUGACAUCUAAAUGUGGGGGUAAACUUCAGCUGAUGGCAUCUCAUUAAAACCAACAGAAUAAAAAUUCAAAUGUGUAUCUUCCCCUAAGUGUU
This 863-nucleotide long non-coding RNA is filed under the name Phasianus colchicus (ring-necked pheasant). RNAcentral's name for it is "lncRNA (ENSPCLG00000006111.1)". Lineage: Eukaryota; Metazoa; Chordata; Aves; Galliformes; Phasianidae. The record is from RNAcentral.